CCAGCAGCCGCGGUAAUUCCAGCUCCGCAAGUGUAUUCCUAUACUGUUGCGUUUAAAUAGCUCGUAGUUGCAUCUGCGUGUUUAGCGCGCGGUGCCAUUUGUUUUGGUUACUGUGUCGCGGCACUUUAGUGCUUGUUGCUACGGUGCUUUUGUGAGUGCCGUGGUCAUGAGCGAAGUUUACUUUGAACAAAUCAGAGUGCUCAAAACGGGCGUUUGGCUCGGAUGUUCUUGCAUGGAAUAAUGGAAUAGGACCGCGCGUUCUAUUUUGUUGGUUUUCGGGACGCGGGUAAUGAUUAAGAGGGACAGACGGGGGCAUUUGUACUGCGACGUGAGAGGUGAAAUUCUUGGAUCGUCGCAAGACAG
Molecule: ribosomal RNA, 363 nt
Filed under: uncultured eukaryote
Lineage: Eukaryota
Description: SSU rRNA
Rfam family: Eukaryotic small subunit ribosomal RNA
Source: RNAcentral